CACGAUCCUAUCUGUGCCACCAGGAGAUGCAGCACUUUUGCAGACAGGAGGCAUGACUCCUGCCCACUCUGCACCCUUCACCUGUAGCGCACUGUCUCCUGGGACGUUCUGAAGGCAGGACCAGUUCAGCUUAUCAGCAGUGUCCUGCUAAGGAGGCACUCAGCAGCCAGCACUUGCUCUUCUUGAUGAGUGAAGCAGAAGGAAACGCCCACUCAGGGAAGUGUUUACCCUCAAGCCACAGCAUCUUGAAUAAUGACAGCAGGUCGGCCUGGUGCACAUCCCACAGCCUUGGGGCUGCAGAGCACGGGGUGCAGAGCUGAGACUGGAGCAGUCCUGCCCAUCUU
Molecule: non-coding RNA, 344 nt
Organism: Heterocephalus glaber (naked mole-rat)
Lineage: Eukaryota; Metazoa; Chordata; Mammalia; Rodentia; Bathyergidae
Source: RefSeq, a predicted model, not a curated record